This 244-nucleotide ribosomal RNA is filed under the name uncultured bacterium. RNAcentral's name for it is "partial 16S ribosomal RNA". It matches the Rfam family "Bacterial small subunit ribosomal RNA", at positions 113 to 353 of the family's 1533-position model. The record is from RNAcentral.
ACACGUGGGUAACCUACCUUAUAGUGGGGGAUAGCCUUUCGAAAGGAAGAUUAAUACCGCAUAAGAUUGUAGUAUCGCAUGAUAUAGCAAUUAAAGGAGCAAUUCGCUAUAAGAUGGACCCGCGUCGCAUUAGCUAGUUGGUGAGGUAAUGGCUCACCAAGGCGACGAUGCGUAGCCGACCUGAGAGGGUGAUCGGCCACAUUGGGACUGAGACACGGCCCAGACUCCUACGGGAGGCAGCAUG